AUAAGAGCGCCUCCUUGGAGGGAGGCGGAGAAAGCGGCUUCGGCCGCGCCGGAGGAACGGCCCGCGUGCUAUUAGCUAGUUGGCGGGGUAACGGCCCACCAAGGCGACGAUAGCUAUCCGGCCUGAGAGGGUGAACGGACACAUUGGGACUGAGAUACGGCCCAGACUCCUACGGGAGGCAGCAGCUAAGAAUAUUCCGCAAUGGGGGAAACCCUGACGGAGCGACGCCGCGUGGAUGAUGAAGGCCGGAAGGUUGUAAAGUCCUUUUGGGCGCAAAGAAUAAGUACGCGAGGAAAUGCGCGUGCGGUGACGGUAGCGCCUGAAUAAGCAACGGCUAAUUACGUG
Molecule: ribosomal RNA, 345 nt
Filed under: uncultured bacterium
Lineage: Bacteria
Description: bacterial SSU rRNA
Rfam family: Bacterial small subunit ribosomal RNA
Source: RNAcentral